AGUGAACGCUGGCGGUAGGCCUAACACAUGCAAGUCGAACGGCAGCACAGUAAAAGCUUGCUCUUACGGGUGGCGAGUGGCGGACGGGUGAGGAAUACAUCGGAAUCUACUUUUUCGUGGGGGAUAACGUAGGGAAACUUACGCUAAUACCGCAUACGACCUACGGGUGAAAGCAGGGGAUCUUCGGACCUUGCGCGAUUGAAUGAGCCGAUGUCGGAUUAGCUAGUUGGCGGGGCAAAGGCCCACCAAGGCGACGAUCCGUAGCUGGUCUGAGAGGAUGAUCAGCCACACUGGAACUGAGACACGGUCCAGACUCCUACGGGAGGCAGCAGUGGGGAAUAUUGGACAAUGGGCGCAAGCCUGAUCCAGCCAUACCGCGUGGGUGAAGAAGGCCUUCGGGUUGUAAAGCCCUUUUGUUGGGAAAGAAAAGCAGCAGGUUAAUACCCCGCUGUUCUGACGGUACCCAAAGAAUAAGCACCGGCUAACUUCGUG
This 492-nucleotide ribosomal RNA is filed under the name uncultured bacterium. RNAcentral's name for it is "partial 16S ribosomal RNA". It matches the Rfam family "Bacterial small subunit ribosomal RNA", at positions 29 to 507 of the family's 1533-position model. The record is from RNAcentral.